UUUUUGUGGAUUAUACUCUUUCUUCAAUUGAUUAGUUGUUGCUCUUGUUGCUAUUGUUGCUCUGUAUUUGGUACUUAUUGUGGAGCCAAUUAGAGAAAUUUUGUAACUCUCUUAUUGAUUCAUUAAGAAUAGAGCCCUGUGUCAUAUAUAAAUAACCAGACUUGACUCUUCGAGCCACUACUAACGAGCCCUUGGUGAGCUUCCAUUGGCCAUUAAAGAG
Molecule: long non-coding RNA, 220 nt
Filed under: Nicotiana benthamiana
Lineage: Eukaryota; Viridiplantae; Streptophyta; Magnoliopsida; Solanales; Solanaceae
Description: long non-coding RNA (NBEN_LNC000624)
Source: RNAcentral